Molecule: unclassified non-coding RNA, 296 nt
Filed under: Hevea brasiliensis (rubber tree)
Lineage: Eukaryota; Viridiplantae; Streptophyta; Magnoliopsida; Malpighiales; Euphorbiaceae
Source: RNAcentral
CUCACAACUUGAGAACCAUUAAACCCAGUGGCUCUUCCUCUCCUCCUUGGGCAUUAGAGUUUGAUUCCUGGCUUAAAGAUGCUCUUCUUCAAGGAAGAUACAACUAUGUGAAUGACUUUUAUGUGAAGGCACCGCACGCAAAAAUGGCUCAUCCUUGGCCAGACCACUUUUACCCAUUGCAUGUGGCCAUGGGUGCUGCAGGCGAAAAUGCCAAGGCCAAGCUUGUGCACCACAGCUGGAGCAAUGGUACCCUUUCUUAUGCUUCUUACCAGUUUAAUGCAGCCAAAUGAAUCAUU